This 253-nucleotide ribosomal RNA is filed under the name uncultured bacterium. Its description in RNAcentral is "partial 16S ribosomal RNA". It matches the Rfam family "Bacterial small subunit ribosomal RNA", at positions 524 to 776 of the family's 1533-position model. The record is from RNAcentral.
UACGGAGGGUGCGAGCGUUGUCCGGAAUUAUUGGGCGUAAAGAGCUCGUAGGCGGUCUGUUACGUCUGCUGUGAAAACCCAGGGCUUAACCCUGGGCUUGCAGUGGAUACGGGCAGACUAGAGGCAGGUAGGGGAGAAUGGAAUUCCCGGUGUAGCGGUGAAAUGCGCAGAUAUCGGGAGGAACACCGGUGGCGAAGGCGGCAUCCUGGACCGGUAUUGACGCUGAGGCGCGAAAGCCAGGGGAGCAAACGGG